Molecule: ribosomal RNA, 495 nt
Filed under: uncultured bacterium
Lineage: Bacteria
Description: bacterial SSU rRNA
Rfam family: Bacterial small subunit ribosomal RNA
Source: RNAcentral
GACGAACGCUGGCGGCGUGGAUUAGGCAUGCAAGUCGAACGGUAGGAUCCUUUCGGGGAUCUGAGAGUGGCGAACGGGUGAGUAACACGUAGGUGAUCUACCCUCAAGACGGGGACAACCCAGGGAAACUUGGGCUAAUACCGGAUGUGAGCUAUCGCGAGAUAGUUUGAAAGGUGGCUUCGGCUGCCGCUUGAGGAUGAGCCUGCGUCCUAUUAGCUAGUUGGUGAGGUAACGGCUCACCGAGGCAGUGAUAGGUAGGCGGCCUUAACGGGUGGUCGCCCACACUGGGAUUGAGAUACGGCCCAGACUCCUACGGGAGGCAGCAGUCGAGAAUAGUCUACAAUGGUCGAAAGACUGAUAGUGCGACGCCGCGUGAACGAAGAAGCCCUUCGGGGUGUAAAGUUCUUUUAUAUGUGAGCAGUGACACCCAUAUUAAUAGUAUGGGUGUAGAGAUAUUAGCAUUAUGAAUAAGCAACGGCUAACUCCGUAGCCAGC